GGCGGACGGGUGAGGAAUACAUCGGAAUCUACUCUGUCGUGGGGGAGUAACGUAGGGAAACUUACGCUAAUACCGCAUACGACCUACGGGUGAAGCAGGGGAUCUUCGGACCUUGCGCGAUUGAAUGAGCCGAUGUCGGAUUAGCUAGUUGGCGGGGUAAAGGCCCACCGAGGCGACGAUCCGUAGCUGGUCUGAGAGGAUGAUCAGUCACACUGGAACUGAGACACGGUCCAGACUCCUACGGGAGGCAGCAGUA
RNAcentral lists this ribosomal RNA (256 nucleotides) under uncultured Stenotrophomonas sp. Its description in RNAcentral is "partial 16S ribosomal RNA". It matches the Rfam family "Bacterial small subunit ribosomal RNA", at positions 97 to 355 of the family's 1533-position model. Lineage: Bacteria; Pseudomonadati; Pseudomonadota; Gammaproteobacteria; Lysobacterales; Lysobacteraceae. The record is from RNAcentral.